Long non-coding RNA from Melospiza melodia melodia, 818 nucleotides. RefSeq lists it as uncharacterized. The record is from RefSeq and is a predicted model, not a curated record. The transcript is spliced from 2 exons. NCBI's taxonomy places the organism in Eukaryota, Metazoa, Chordata, Aves, Passeriformes, Passerellidae.
UCCAGGGUGCUCCAAGGUGGCCCCAGGGUCCAUCCAAGGUUCUCCAAGGUGGCCCCGGGUCCAUCCAAGGUUCUCCAAGGUGGCCCCAGGGUCCAUCCAAGGUUCUCCAAGGUCCACCCAAGGUUCUCCAAGGUGGCCCCGGGUCCAUUCAGGGUUCUCCAAGGUGGUCCCAGGUCCAUCCAAGGUUCUCCAAGGUGGUUGAAGGUCCAUCCAAGGUUCUCCAAAGUCUAUCCCAGGAGAUCCAAGGUGGCCCCAGGUCCACCCAAGGUUCUCCAAGGUGGCCCCGGGUCCAUCCAAGGCCACCAAGCUCCACCCCAGGAGCUCCAGAGGCCACCAGAAACCACCUGAGGCCACCAGAAGCUCCUCAGAGCCCUCCAGACCCCAAAAACCCCAAAAAUUCCCAAAAACACCCAAAAUUUCCUCAAAAAUCCUAAAAAAAUUCCCAAAAAUUCCCAAAAUUCCCCAAAAAAUUCCCAAAAAACCCCAAAAUUCACCCAAAAAUUCCCCAAAUUCUGCCCCCAAAGCACUUCCGGGGUGGGGGAGGGGCCUUGGACCUUCCCAGCCCCCAAAUUUGGGCUUUUCCCGCCAAAAAAAUUGGGGGAUUUUGGGAAAAUUUGGGGGGAAAAUUUGAAAUUUUUGGGAAAAUUUUGGAAUUUUUGGGAAAUUUUGGAAUUUUGGGGGAAAAUUUUGGAAUUUUGGGGGGGAUUUUGGGGAUUUUGGGGGCGGCGCUGGAAUUUCCAAGGUACCACCGGGAGCUCCCGGCUCCUCCGAGCACUUUAAGACGCCCCCAGGAGAGAAAAAUCCCAAAAAUUUAAAAA